Molecule: ribosomal RNA, 349 nt
Filed under: Cladosporium sp. FF26
Lineage: Eukaryota; Fungi; Ascomycota; Dothideomycetes; Cladosporiales; Cladosporiaceae
Description: eukaryotic LSU rRNA
Rfam family: Eukaryotic large subunit ribosomal RNA
Source: RNAcentral
GUUGACCUCGGAUCAGGUAGGGAUACCCGCUGAACUUAAGCAUAUCAAUAAGCGGAGGAAAAGAAACCAACAGGGAUUGCUCUAGUAACGGCGAGUGAAGCAGCAAUAGCUCAAAUUUGAAAUCUGGCGUCUUCGACGUCCGAGUUGUAAUUUGUAGAGGAUGCUUCUGAGUAACCACCGACCUAAGUUCCUUGGAACAGGACGUCAUAGAGGGUGAGAAUCCCGUAUGCGGUCGGAAAGGUGCUCUAUACGUAGCUCCUUCGACGAGUCGAGUUGUUUGGGAAUGCAGCUCUAAAUGGGAGGUAAAUUUCUUCUAAAGCUAAUAUUGGCCAGAGACCCAUAGCGCACC